UACGGGGGGAGCAAGCGUUGUUCGGAUUUACUGGGCGUAAAGGGCGCGUAGGCGGUCAGCACAAGUCAGUUGUGAAAUCUCCGGGCUUAACUCGGAAAGGUCAACUGAUACUGUGCGACUAGAGUGCAGAAGGGGCAACUGGAAUUCUCGGUGUAGCGGUGAAAUGCGUAGAUAUCGAGAGGAACACCUGCGGCGAAGGCGGGUUGCUGGGCUGACACUGACGCUGAGGCACGAAAGCUAGGGGAGCAAACAGG
Molecule: ribosomal RNA, 254 nt
Filed under: uncultured bacterium
Lineage: Bacteria
Description: partial 16S ribosomal RNA
Rfam family: Bacterial small subunit ribosomal RNA
Source: RNAcentral